This 253-nucleotide ribosomal RNA is filed under the name uncultured bacterium. RNAcentral's name for it is "partial 16S ribosomal RNA". It matches the Rfam family "Bacterial small subunit ribosomal RNA", at positions 524 to 776 of the family's 1533-position model. The record is from RNAcentral.
UACGGGGGGGGCAAGCGUUGUUCGGAAUUACUGGGCGUAAAGGGCUCGUAGGCGGCCAACUAAGUCAGACGUGAAAUCCCUCGGCUUAACCGGGGAACUGCGUCCGAUACUGGUUGGCUUGAAUCCGGGAGAGGGAUGUGGAAUUCCAGGUGUAGCGGUGAAAUGCGUAGAUAUCUGGAGGAACACCGGUGGCGAAGGCGGCAUCCUGGACCGGUAUUGACGCUGAGGAGCGAAAGCCAGGGGAGCAAACGGG